UGUGCGGCUCUCCUUUAUUUUCUAGACAAGCAGAUGUCCACACACUUUUGGUCAUGUAGUGCUAUGAUGGAGGAGGUCAAUAAGAGUGUCGAAUCUGGUUAACAAAAAAGAUCUGCCAACUAGGCUCAGUGGGUGACAGGUAACUGUGUUUCCACCAAGCUGUUCCAGGCCUGGAGUGGCACCCUGGAACUUCUAGAGGCUUGUAGACUUGAAGCUGUGUGAUGUGGUCCAGAUCUGACACCCCUAUUAGCUCAACCACAGCCCUCAUAGCUACAGUCUUCUGCUCCUGCACCUGCUACACCGGCCGUGACAGGUGAUACAGAUCUGCCACCCUUAGCAGUUCAGCUGCAUUCACAGCAGUCCUCUGCUGUGGUAUUUAUUUUACUGGCUGCACCAGGUCCUACUACACUGGCCGUGAAGGGAGAAACUUUUAAGGAUUCUCAGAUGGAAUCAGAUCUACCAUGCACUCCACCACUGCCCGACAGCCUCUCCCAGACAUGCAUACACUGGGCCUAUCAAGACUGACAAAGCAGAGAUGGUUGAGUGACAAGGAAAAAUAAAACACAACAUGCACACACACACACACACACACACUCUCUCGCUGUCACACACACACACACACACAUUAUCCCCAAUGUAAAUCAUUUGUAAUUACUUGUUUAUUUUAUGUAUUCUCCAUUUUAUUUUAGGAUCGGAGAUAUCUACUCCUACAUAUCCAUUAUCAACAUCUACAUAAUUAAUCUAAAUAGCUAUCAAAUCAAAGUGUGAUUGAUAAUAUUGUAAAAGAGUAUUGCUUAAUGUGUACAGUUUGAGGAAAUUCUGUGUGCUUUUUCUGAGUUGAAAAACAUUACUCGCUCUCACACUCUCUCUCUCUCCCUCACAUACAGUAUAUACAAGGUUCCCAGGAGUGGCAGGCAGAUAGUACAUUAAAAACACUUUUGCAGGACAAUAAACUAAGGCCCCUGGCUACCCAUCACA
Salvelinus fontinalis (brook trout) is the source of this 978-nucleotide long non-coding RNA. RefSeq lists it as uncharacterized. Lineage: Eukaryota; Metazoa; Chordata; Actinopteri; Salmoniformes; Salmonidae. The transcript has 5 exons. The record is from RefSeq and is a predicted model, not a curated record.